GGCAGAGAAGUGCAGCUCAGAAUGGGUGUCUCACGCAGACUGUAAAUCUGCCGGCUCAGCCUUCCCAGGUUCGAAUCCUGGCGCCGCCA
This 89-nucleotide transfer RNA is filed under the name Streptomyces sp. DSM 40167. RNAcentral describes it as "tRNA-Tyr". Lineage: Bacteria; Bacillati; Actinomycetota; Actinomycetes; Kitasatosporales; Streptomycetaceae. RNAcentral also lists the same sequence under 1 other name. The record is from RNAcentral.